AUAAAAUUGAUGGAAAGAUUUAAAAAAGAUGGAGAAAACACAAGAAAAGUAUUAAAGCAGUUUUAAAAGAGUGCCUUAGGAGUGCCUUUGCACUGAUUGAUAAAAGUAAGUGAUUAGUAUAGAAAGAAAAUGAAAAUAAUUCAAUAAUGUGAUAAGGUUUAAACAUGUAUUUCUCUUGUCAAGUUGGCUGUUGAGCUGUGAGUCUAUGCAAAUUAGCUGGAGCAGAGACACUUCCUGUGUGCGUGUGUGUCGGAGGCUUUCAGUUCAAGAGAGAGCGGUGGCUGUUGAAGAUUAUUUGGCGAAAUAUAUAAUGCUCGGGACCAGUACUCCUGCUGUUGGACAGAAAGACAUCAACUUGAGAUAUGACUGCACUAUGCUGUUCCUGGUGACCACAGUUAAUUCUACAAGACAUGCUGUGACACCAGGAGAGACAAGUCCUCCGUCACAGAUGGUGUGGUCAGUGAAGAUGGUCGCCUGCAGGCCUGGGUCGUGUAGCAGCCAACAACUCCCCCAGAGAGGCUGUCCUGGUGAGGGAGAAGUUCAUGGCCCACUUCUCG
Long non-coding RNA from Oreochromis aureus, 557 nucleotides. NCBI's taxonomy places the organism in Eukaryota, Metazoa, Chordata, Actinopteri, Cichliformes, Cichlidae. The record is from Ensembl.